This 216-nucleotide ribosomal RNA is filed under the name Glomeromycotina sp. RNAcentral's name for it is "partial small subunit ribosomal RNA". The stretch from base 40 to 216 matches the Rfam family "Eukaryotic small subunit ribosomal RNA", at positions 686 to 864 of the family's 1831-position model. The record is from RNAcentral. Lineage: Eukaryota; Fungi; Glomeromycota.
GGGUCAGUAGGUCGGUCGUGCCACCGGUACGUACUGGUCUCACUGAUUCCUCCUUCCUGAAGAACCGUAAUGCCAUUAAUUUGGUGUUGCGGGGAAACAGGACUGUUACUUUGAAAAAAUUAGAGUGUUUAAAGCAAGCUAACGCUUGAAUGCAUUAGCAUGGAAUAAUGAAAUAGGACGAUCGAUCCUAUUUUGUUGGUUUCUAGGAUUGACGUA